AGCGAACGCUGGCGGCAGGCUUAACACAUGCAAGUCGAGCGGGCCCUUCGGGGUCAGCGGCGGACGGGUGAGUAACGCGUGGGAACGUGCCUUCUGGUCUGGAAUAACCCUGGGAAACUAGGGCUAAUACCGGAUACGCCCUUUUGGGGAAAGGUUUACUGCCGGAAGAUCGGCCCGCGUCUGAUUAGCUAGUUGGUGGGGUAACGGCCUACCAAGGCGACGAUCAGUAGCUGGUCUGAGAGGAUGAUCAGCCACACUGGGACUGAGACACGGCCCAGACUCCUACGGGAGGAAGCAGUGGGGAAUAUUGGACAAUGGGAGCAAGCCUGAUCCAGACAUGCCGCGUGAGUGAUGAAGGCCUUAGGGUUGUAAAGCUCUUUUAUCCGGGACGAUAAUGACGGUACCGGAGGAAUAAGCCCCGGCUAACUUCGUG
Molecule: ribosomal RNA, 433 nt
Filed under: uncultured bacterium
Lineage: Bacteria
Description: partial 16S ribosomal RNA
Rfam family: Bacterial small subunit ribosomal RNA
Source: RNAcentral